CCAAGCCCCAGAUAUAGCCCCAGGAAGUCCUGAGAACACGUGUCCCCGGUGGUUGGGUUACAGCUUGAUUUUACACAUUCUAGGGUUCAGGAGUUACAGGGAGACAUCAA
Long non-coding RNA from Sapajus apella (tufted capuchin), 110 nucleotides. RefSeq lists it as uncharacterized. Lineage: Eukaryota; Metazoa; Chordata; Mammalia; Primates; Cebidae. The transcript has 3 exons. The record is from RefSeq and is a predicted model, not a curated record.